AAAGUUACCACAGGGAUAAC
RNAcentral lists this non-coding RNA (20 nucleotides) under Arabidopsis thaliana (thale cress). The record is from RNAcentral. RNAcentral also lists the same sequence under 2 other names. Lineage: Eukaryota; Viridiplantae; Streptophyta; Magnoliopsida; Brassicales; Brassicaceae.